UAUUAGCAGCAGCGUCAUUAGCAGCAGUCUGACAGGCCAAGAGAGAACAAGAGCAAAAGCACUUGAUUGAUUCAAUGCAAAAAAAAUGCAUCAAACAAACAAUAUUUAACAUUUAUUCCAACAGUUUAACAUAAUAAGGGCAUCUUGUUCAUACAAUUGAGUAUAUUAAUGUAUAUAUAAAUAAAUAAUGUUAUGUAAAAUGCAAUGUAAAUUUUCGGGCAAAGGGCUGUUCCCAAAAGCUGACAUUGAAACGAUAUGUCACUCAUUCAUCUUGACCAGUGAUUGGCUGACUGCUUCUUAGGCCCCAAGCCCAGCUGAGACCAGCGGAGAGGACGUCCAGGAAUCGGUGCCAACAACCCUGUAGUUGCUAAUGACACAAAGCUUUCGCCAAAAAAUCCAAAGAAAAAUAAAUACAAUCACAAAAUAUUAAUAAAAGGUAAAACAAUGAACUCAUUGGAAGUCAUUCUCAUAACUAGUGGGAUGCUUACUCGGGUAGAAUAAUAUGCCGCAAAAAACAAAAAAGCAAUUGUACAGUGUGUCAUACAACAGGGAACCAGUGUGUUCCCUCCAAUAAUAUACUGUAUGAACUCCUGCAGCACUUUAAUAACUAUGUUAUUCAAAUGUAAUCAAACCUUCCCAAAAAUAAGUCGUGGUACGGAAAGAAAUUUCCACUGAAUGAAAUAAGCUGUGGAAUAAUGUCAUUCACGUUGCUUUGCUUCCGUGUUGUUGAGUCUCCCAACUGGGCGCCAGAAAGAAAACCGCUGACUACGGAGAAGAACCUCAUGCAACAUCUAAGCUCUCAACGUCACUUUUCUUUGCUCUUCUGGCUUUUACAAUGCUUUGUUUACCCACAGCGGAGGUCGGUUUUUUAAUUAUUUUUCUUUUAUUCCCGUUUGAUUAUUAUCAUUCUAACCCAGAGGUCUUCAACAGGGAGUCUGGAAAAAACCUUCAUCCAAACCGCCCCCUUAACGCAGGUACCCAGACACAGGUAGGAGAUGCUGGAAAUAGAUAAGAAGAUUAUCAACCAGAUUAAUAGCUAUUACGUUUGGCUCAGAGGCACAGCUGUUAAACUGCUCCCACAUGCAGCAGCCAGAAAGGAGUCCAGGUUCAACCAGGCGCCGACAGCGUCCCUUCCAUUUUUCUCAUUAUGAGCCAACAUCAUGUUGAGUAUAAUUAGUACAAUACGGUAUAUUGCUUGUGCCCACCUGUCUGCAAAAAGACCGUUAAAUCAGGAAUCAGGAAACAUUUAUUACCAAAAUAUGUCAAACAUACAAGGAAUUUGUCUUGGCGGUUAGUGCGCGACAGUAGACAGACAAGACAACAGUGCACAAGUAAUAAAAUAAAGUAAAAUGAAAUGCUAAUGCAAUGGGUUAGUAGAAUAAGUGACGACAAAGUGAUGAAUUGCAGUUAAAGUGACGUGUGCAGUGUGAAGGGGAGUGACCGGUGGGAUGUUAUAGUCAGGCAGUGGGGGACCGGCUCUGUUGAUGAGCCCGACUGCCAACGGGAAGAAACUGUUGGUGUGGCGGGAGGUCUGAUGGACCUCAGCCUCCUGCCAGAUGGAAGGGGCACAAACAGGUCUUGUCCGGGGUGAGAGGGGUCGGCCACGAUCUUUUUAGCUGCUUCAGAGACCUGGAAGCGAACAAGUCCUGCAGGGACGGCAGAUUGCAGCCGAUCAGCCUCUCUGCAGAGCGGAGGACACGCUGCAGCCGGCCCUUGUCCUUGGCUGUGGCUGCAGCGUACCAGACGGUGAUGGAGGAGCAGAGGAUGGACUCCAUGAUUAGAUGAUUAAAAUGAUAUGAAUAAAAAAAACAAUGAAUUGAAAGUCAACUAAACCUGAAAAAAGGUUCAUACUAAACGUUAACCCAAUCAUCUGAAUCAUUCCAUGAUUU
Long non-coding RNA from Gasterosteus aculeatus aculeatus (three-spined stickleback), 1889 nucleotides. The record is from Ensembl. NCBI's taxonomy places the organism in Eukaryota, Metazoa, Chordata, Actinopteri, Perciformes, Gasterosteidae.